RNAcentral lists this ribosomal RNA (550 nucleotides) under uncultured bacterium. Its description in RNAcentral is "bacterial SSU rRNA". It matches the Rfam family "Bacterial small subunit ribosomal RNA", at positions 106 to 654 of the family's 1533-position model. The record is from RNAcentral.
GUGCGUAACGCGUAUACAAUCUACCUUAUACAGGGGGAUAGCCUUUGGAAACGAAGAUUAAUACCCCAUGGUAAGUGAUUAUGGCAUCGUAAUUACUUUAAAGAUUUAUCGGUAUAAGAUGAGUAUGCGUUCUAUUAGCUAGAUGGUAAGGUAACGGCUUACCAUGGCGACGAUAGAUAGGGGUCCUGAGAGGGAGAUCCCCCACACUGGUACUGAGACACGGACCAGACUCCUACGGGAGGCAGCAGUGAGGAAUAUUGGACAAUGGAGGCAACUCUGAUCCAGCCAUGCCGCGUGCAGGAAGACUGCCCUAUGGGUUGUAAACUGCUUUUAUACAGGAAGAAUAAGGCCUACGUGUAGGUUGAUGACGGUACUGUAAGAAUAAGCACCGGCUAACUCCGUGCCAGCAGCCGCGGUAAUACGGAGGGUGCAAGCGUUAUCCGGAAUCAUUGGGUUUAAAGGGUCCGUAGGCGGGUUUAUAAGUCAGUGGUGAAAUGCUGUGGCUCAACCAUAGCACUGCCAUUGAUACUGUAGAUCUUGAAUCGUUGUG